GGGGUAUAGCUCAGAUGGUAGAGCGCUUGGUUCGCAUUCAAGAGGUCAGGGGUUCGAUUCCCC
Molecule: transfer RNA, 63 nt
Filed under: uncultured Ruminococcus sp.
Lineage: Bacteria; Bacillati; Bacillota; Clostridia; Eubacteriales; Oscillospiraceae
Rfam family: tRNA
About the family: Transfer RNA (tRNA) molecules are approximately 80 nucleotides in length. Their secondary structure includes four short double-helical elements and three loops (D, anti-codon, and T loops). Further hydrogen bonds mediate the characteristic L-shaped molecular structure. tRNAs have two regions of fundamental functional importance: the anti-codon, which is responsible for specific mRNA codon recognition, and the 3' end, to which the tRNAs corresponding amino acid is attached (by aminoacyl-tRNA synthetases). tRNAs cope with the degeneracy of the genetic code in two manners: having more than one tRNA (with a specific anti-codon) for a particular amino acid; and 'wobble' base-pairing, i.e. permitting non-standard base-pairing at the 3rd anti-codon position.
Source: RNAcentral